GGGUGCGAGCGUUAUUCGGAAUUACUGGGCGUAAAGCGCGCGUAGGCGGCUUUGCAAGUCGGGUGUGAAAUCCCCAGGCUUAACCUGGGAACUGCAUUCGAGACUGCAUUGCUAGAGUAUGGGAGAGGGAAGUGGAAUUUCCGGUGUAGCGGUGAAAUGCGUAGAUAUCGGAAGGAACAUCAGUGGCGAAAGCGACUUCCUGGACCAAUACUGACGCUCAUGUGCGAAAGCGUGGGGAGCAAACAGG
RNAcentral lists this ribosomal RNA (247 nucleotides) under uncultured bacterium. Its description in RNAcentral is "partial 16S ribosomal RNA". It matches the Rfam family "Bacterial small subunit ribosomal RNA", at positions 530 to 776 of the family's 1533-position model. The record is from RNAcentral.